RNAcentral lists this long non-coding RNA (1158 nucleotides) under Panax ginseng (ginseng). Its description in RNAcentral is "long non-coding RNA (PGIN_LNC018256)". The record is from RNAcentral. Lineage: Eukaryota; Viridiplantae; Streptophyta; Magnoliopsida; Apiales; Araliaceae.
AAGAAACUUUAUCGCACUUUAUUAGUAUAUAGGAAGAUAUAAUAGGCGUAAGCUACGCGUAUUGCUUUAAACACACAAAUAGCGCGUGGGUAUUUCUUUAUAUAAUACUCCAUUGUUUUAUAAAGAAUAAUCCUUCAGGUAUUUUCUGUUGAAGCAAUCUAAGUAAAACGAAAUCCGAAUCGCAAUUGCUGAUUGGGUAAGCUUUCUUCCUCUUUCCUCUUUCCUCUGUAUAAUAUAUGUAUGAAUAUACGUAUUUCUGUACAUAAAUUUCUUAAAGGCAUGGGGUGAUCGAUGCAAGUUUUUGUUUUUUCUUUUCUGGAUUUUUUGUGUUUUCUGUGUUAAAUUGUUCAUUAGUUUGUUAUUGUUGAUUGCCUGAAUUUUUUUUUGAAUAAUUUUUAUAAUGAAAUCUCAUCAAUUUAUAAUUUUUUUAAUAAAAUUAUUAUAAAAACCGCAAGACUACUGAUCAAUUUCAACUUUAUAAUCUUCAAGCAGUCUUUUUAAUUUUUAUAAUAAAAAUUUUCUGAACAAAAGUUGAAUUUUAUCUGCAGUCUUUAUAAAUUUAAUGUUUGGAUCUUUUCUAAUUGUGUGCUGCAUGAUGCAUCUAUUUUUCGUCUAUUGUAGUAGGUAAUUGGGUGGUUGGUUGUUGGGCAACUUGGGCUAUUAAGAUGAAUGAGUUUGGUUCAUCGUUGGGAAUUGUCUAAUAACAUUAAUUUGCAAAUGUUGUUUCAAUUCAGGAUACUUUUGCAAUGUAAUGGAUGAUACAAGUUGAAGACAAAAUUUCAAAAAAAGAGUUAUAUAAUUUUUUCUGCAUAUUGUGCAAAUUACAAUUAAGGAUGUAAUGGUACAUUAAAUGUAAUGAAAAGGACCAAAGCUGUGUAAUCUGCUUAUAGACAAAGCAAAUAGGGUGAAUUAUCACAUCAAUGAAACAUAGCAACGUAGUGCGAAGAAGGAGAAACGUCGCAUCAACGUAGGGCGCCAUUACAUUACGUUGUUGUUACCCAACAAAACACAUCCUUUUAGCUAACCAAACUCAUCAUAUAAUAAUUUGUUUACCAAAGAUUUUUGUACAAGUUGAACUAUUUUUUAUCUGUAUAUAUACAAGUGUAGUUUAUCUUAUGCUUAGUAAGUUGGUAAUCUAUGGAGAUGACGAAAUCAUGU